Acanthosepion pharaonis is the source of this 108-nucleotide non-coding RNA. NCBI's taxonomy places the organism in Eukaryota, Metazoa, Mollusca, Cephalopoda, Sepiida, Sepiidae. The record is from the annotation of a GenBank genome assembly.
ACGGCCACCUCACGUUGAAACACUGCUUCCCGUACGCUCACCGAAGUUAAGCAACGUCGGACCUGGCCAAUACCUAGAUGGGCGUCCGCUUGGAAAUACCAGCUGCUG